GGAUGUGAGGUGGCCUGACUGCAGCAUCAGUCACCCCACUGACUGCCAGUGUUGAUUCGGUUGACCCAGAUGGCCAGGCAGUGUCCCCUUCCUCCCUCACCAUGCCAUGUGUGUCCCUCCUGAAGCUGCGCGCUCCAUGGAAGAGGACGGCUGCCCCGACAGAGGACCACACCUCACCAAGUGCAGCUGCGCCCCCCUGCCAGAACUCCACACAAGCGCUCAGGAGAGAUGGCGUCAGCAGUGAGAAGCUGCAUUUCUAGUGUGUACCCUUCACACGAUGUCCUGAACAUGGCACUCCAUCAGUGU
This is an unclassified non-coding RNA of Cavia aperea (Brazilian guinea pig), 306 nucleotides long. Its record names the gene 7SK. It matches the Rfam family "7SK RNA". Rfam says of the family: 7SK was discovered as an abundant small nuclear RNA in the mid-70s but a possible function has only recently been suggested. Two independent studies have found that 7SK RNA binds the CDK9/cyclin T complex (known as elongation factor P-TEFb). The record is from Ensembl. Lineage: Eukaryota; Metazoa; Chordata; Mammalia; Rodentia; Caviidae.